RNAcentral lists this ribosomal RNA (498 nucleotides) under uncultured bacterium. Its description in RNAcentral is "partial 16S ribosomal RNA". It matches the Rfam family "Bacterial small subunit ribosomal RNA", at positions 28 to 507 of the family's 1533-position model. The record is from RNAcentral.
GACGAACGCUGGCGGCGUGCCUAAUACAUGCAAGUCGAACGAGAGCGACCGGUGCUUGCACUGGUCAAUCUAGUGGCGAACGGGUGAGUAACACGUGGGUAACCUGCCCAUCAGAGGGGGAUAACAUCCGGAAACGGAUGCUAAAACCGCAUAGGUCUUCGAACCGCAUGGUUUGAAGAGGAAAAGAGGCGCAAGCUUCUGCUGAUGGAUGGACCCGCGGUGCAUUAGCUAGUUGGUGAGGUAACGGCUCACCAAGGCCGUGAUGCAUAGCCGACCUGAGAGGGUGAUCGGCCACAUUGGGACUGAGACACGGCCCAAACUCCUACGGGAGGCAGCAGUAGGGAAUCUUCCGCAAUGGACGCAAGUCUGACGGAGCAACGCCGCGUGAGUGAAGAAGGUUUUCGGAUCGUAAAACCCUGUUGUUAGAGAAGAACAAGUGCUAGAGUAACUGUUAGCGCCUUGACGGUAGCUAACCAGAAAGCCACGGCUAACUACGUG